Molecule: transfer RNA, 68 nt
Filed under: Alucita montana
Lineage: Eukaryota; Metazoa; Arthropoda; Insecta; Lepidoptera; Alucitidae
Description: tRNA-Ala
Rfam family: tRNA
About the family: Transfer RNA (tRNA) molecules are approximately 80 nucleotides in length. Their secondary structure includes four short double-helical elements and three loops (D, anti-codon, and T loops).
Source: RNAcentral
AGGAUUAUAGUUUAAUAAACAUUUGACUUGCAUUCAAAAAUUAUUGAUUUUGAAAUCAAUUUAUCUUA